AUGCAUUCGCUACUACCGUAACGGUCUCUGCCUUCCCUUCGUUGCUGCGGCGCCACGCCAAUCUUCGUUUUCCCUUUCGCCGCCACACCACGGGCUCAAUCAGUCGCCCAUCCCGUGCAUACGCUGCCAUCCGUUGAGCCUCCUCUGCUACAUCGCGCCCCAAGGGUCAUCAAGUCACCUCCACUAGCCGUCGUGCGGGGCAAGCCUUGCUGCCGCACGGCAUGGAGUAAGUGGUUUUCCGUCGGAGUCCUUGCUGCUCCGUGAUUCUGCCACCAGAGCAUUCUCGAGUCCGCAUAUGACAAAAAAUGACGGACCAAUUCGAUCGCAGUUCCUCUUGACAGCGGGUCAGAAAGCGACUGGCCUCUGCUUAUUUCAAUGAACAUACAGAGCACUGUAUCACAAUCGCCUGCACUAACAGGAUUAAACUUGGUUACUAAAUGUUAUGGUUCCUUUAAUCACAGCCAACCAACGGAUAUGCACAUAUGAGGUGAAACAAAAAGUCGGCAGACCUUGCUGUGUGGCAAACGAAUGAGGUUGUGGGGUCAAGAGAGAUGAGCAAUCCAUAUUGCUUGAUCCUAAUUCGGGCAUGAUGGUGGAGGCGGUGAGAAGUUAAGUAGCGUGAAAAGCAUAGUUUCUCAAACCUUUGGUUUGAGACUUUUACUUUUAUUUUGUAUAUUGAUUCUGAUGGCGGAUAUUUUGCUGGCUACCUAGCGAAAUUCAAUUGCCACACAUAAACAAUGUGUGGGGUUUAAUUCCUUUUUUAUGUAAUAGUUUUAAUUUAUGUUUUUCAAU
Molecule: small RNA, 792 nt
Filed under: Oryza sativa Japonica Group (Japanese rice)
Lineage: Eukaryota; Viridiplantae; Streptophyta; Magnoliopsida; Poales; Poaceae
Description: sRNA Os01g0500750
Source: RNAcentral